CGCUGGCGGCGUGCUUAACACAUGCAAGUCGAACGAUGAACCACUUCGGUGGGGAUUAGUGGCGAACGGGUGAGUAACACGUGGGCAAUCUGCCCUGCACUCUGGGACAAGCCCUGGAAACGGGGUCUAAUACCGGAUACUGAUCAUCUUGUGCAUCCUUGAUGAUCGAAAGCUCCGGCGGUGCAGGAUGACCCCGCGGCCUAUCAGCUUGUUGGUGAGGUAACGGCUCACCAAGGCGACUACCGAUAGCCGGCCUGAGAGGGCGACCGGCCACACUGACACUGAGACACGGCCCAGACUCCUACGGCAGGCAGCAGUGGGGAAUAUUGCACAGUGGGCGCAAGCCUGAUGCAACGACCCCGCGUGAGGGAUGACGGCCUUCGGGUUGUGAACCUCUUUCAGCAGGCAAUAAGCAAAAGUGACGGUACCUGCAGAAGAAGCUCCGGCUAACUACGUGCCAGCAGACGCGGUAAUACGUAGGGCGCAAGCGUUGUCCGGAAUUAUUGGGCGUAAAGAGCUCGUAGGCGGCUUGUCGCGUCGGAUGUGAAAGCCCGGGGCUUAACCCCGGAUCUGCAUUCGAUACGCGCAGGCUAGAGUUCGGUAGGGGAGAUCGGAAUUCCUGGUGUAGCGGUGAAAUGCGCAAAUAUCAGGACGAACACCGGUGGCGAAGGCGGAUCUCUGGGCCGAUACUGACGCUGAGGAGCGAAAGCGUGGGGAGCGAACUGGAUUAGAUACCCUGGUAGUCCACGCCGUAAACGGUGCGCACUAGGUGUGGGCAACAUUCCACGUUGUCCGUGCCGCAGCUAACGCAUUAAGUGCCCCGCCUGGGGAGUACGGCCGCAAGGCUAAAACUCAAAGGAAUUGACGGGGGCCCGCACAAGCGGCGGAGCAUGUGGCUUAAUUCGACGCAACGCGAAGAACCUUACCAAGGCUUGACAUACACCGGAAACACUCAGAGAUGGGUGCCCCCUUGUGGUCGGUGUACAGGUGGUGCAUGGCUGUCGUCAGCUCGUGUCG
This 1017-nucleotide ribosomal RNA is filed under the name Streptomyces sp. JRG-19. RNAcentral describes it as "bacterial SSU rRNA". It matches the Rfam family "Bacterial small subunit ribosomal RNA", at positions 34 to 1067 of the family's 1533-position model. Lineage: Bacteria; Bacillati; Actinomycetota; Actinomycetes; Kitasatosporales; Streptomycetaceae. The record is from RNAcentral.